RNAcentral lists this unclassified non-coding RNA (262 nucleotides) under Hevea brasiliensis (rubber tree). The record is from RNAcentral. Lineage: Eukaryota; Viridiplantae; Streptophyta; Magnoliopsida; Malpighiales; Euphorbiaceae.
AGAAAUCAAUGUGGAAGAGUUCUAGCGACUCCAAUCGAGGUAGAUGCCCAGCGAACUCGUAGAAAAACCGUUUCCCAAACGGCGCUGGAAAAUCUGCCACCGCGUCGGGAUCUUCGGCGUUGAGGAUUCGGAGCUCGCGGGUGUGCUCCAGCCAGACCCUCAACUCCCCGGAACGUAGAACCCGCUCUACGAGCAGCGUAUAUGUCGAAGCGUUGUCGAUUUGGAUGGCAAGGAAGAGGUAGUACCUGCUUGCUGGAAGCCA